This 664-nucleotide unclassified non-coding RNA is filed under the name Hevea brasiliensis (rubber tree). The record is from RNAcentral. Lineage: Eukaryota; Viridiplantae; Streptophyta; Magnoliopsida; Malpighiales; Euphorbiaceae.
AAAUCCAGAGUGGGUGGAUUCAACUUUUCACUUUUCUUUUUACUCACUUUUGGCCACAGGUAUCCCUCAAUUGUUUCCAACAGCGAAAAGGGAUCUACGCUCACAACACUCUCCGGAUAAUCAACAAGUGAUGACUCCCCCUCUCCCUUCACAAACUGGACCUUCAGACAAGGAUAUGGCGUACAAUGCUCAUAUGGGAUUGUAGCAUAUGAGUUUCGUAGCUUAGAUGCAUGACUCAAGAUGACUGGGAAGUUCUCAACAGAGCAAAGUGCACUAUGCAAUCUCCUUAUCAAAGCUAGAAAAGUGGAGUUCUCCACAAGCGGGCCAGAGUUAUCCAAAAGUAAUCUACCAAACAGCUCAAAUCUCUUUUCUAUAAUAUACAGCUGAUUUACUGAGACAUCACCAUCUACCUUUUUUCCCAAGUAUUGGCCAUUGGAGAGGUAAUUUACUAGAGACUUAACAACUCCACUCUCAAUGAACUCGAACGUAGAAAUGGCAUUAUUUCCAUUUAACUCUGACAUAAUUUGAUGCAAAACAGGGUAAAAGUCUUCUUUCUCUUGAGGAGGAGCAAUGCUGCUACUAAAUUUGUGAACCAGAUCAGUUAACUGAGACGAAAGAGUCUUGAGCUUCUGAAGAACAUCGGUUAUUCCUAAUCUGGAGUUCA